GUGACUGCGUACCUUUUGUAUAAUGGGUCAGCGACUUAUAUUCUGUAGCAAGGUUAACCGAAUAGGGGAGCCGGAGGGAAACCGAGUCUUAAUUGGGCGUUAAGUUGCAGGGUAUAGACCCGAAACCCGGUGAUCUAGCCAUGGGCAGGUUGAAGGUUGGGUAACACUAACUGGAGGACCGAACCGACUAAUGUUGAAAAAUUAGCGGAUGACCUGUGGCUGGGGGUGAAAGGCCAAUCAAACCGGGAGAUAGCUGGUUCUCCCCGAAAGCUAUUUAGGUAGCGCCUCGUGAAUUCAUCUCCGGGGGUAGAGCACUGUUUCGGCUAGGGGGCCAUCCCGGCUUACCAACCCGAUGCAAACUGCGAAUACCGGAGAAUGUUAUCACGGGAGACACACGGCGGGUGCUAACGUCCGUCGUGAAGAGGGAAACAACCCAGACCGCCAGCUAAGGUCCCAAAGUCAUGGUUAAGUGGGAAACGAUGUGGGAAGGCCCAGACAGCCAGGAUGUUGGCUUAGAAGCAGCCAUCAUUUAAAGAAAGCGUAAUAGCUCACUGGUCGAGUCGGCCUGCGCGGAAGAUGUAACGGGGCUAAACCAUGCACCGAAGCUGCGGCAGCGACACUGUGUGUUGUUGGGUAGGGGAGCGUUCUGUAAGCCUGUGAAGGUGUGUCGUGAGGCAUGCUGGAGGUAUCAGAAGUGCGAAUGCUGACAUAAGUAACGAUAAAGCGGGUGAAAAGCCCGCUCGCCGGAAGACCAAGGGUUCCUGUCCAACGUUAAUCGGGGCAGGGUGAGUCGACCCCUAAGGCGAGGCCGAAAGGCGUAGUCGAUGGGAAACGGGUUAAUAUUCCCGUACUUGGUGUUACUGCGAAGGGGGGACGGAGAAGGCUAUGUUGGCCGGGCGACGGUUGUCCCGGUUUAAGCGUGUAGGUGUGUGUUCCAGGUAAAUCCGGUCCACUUUAACACUGAGGCGUGAUGACGAGGCACUACGGUGCUGAAGCAACAAAUGCCCUGCUUCCAGGAAAAGCCUCUAAGCAUCAGGUAACAUCAAAUCGUACCCCAAACCGACACAGGUGGUCAGGUAGAGAAUACCAAGGCGCUUGAGAGAACUCGGGUGAAGGAACUAGGCAAAAUGGUGCCGUAACUUCGGGAGAAGGCACGCUGACACGUAGGUGAAGUGAUUUACUCAUGGAGCUGAAGUCAGUCGAAGAUACCAGCUGGCUGCAACUGUUUAUUAAAAACACAGCACUGUGCAAACACGAAAGUGGACGUAUACGGUGUGACGCCUGCCCGGUGCCGGAAGGUUAAUUGAUGGGGUCAGCGCAAGCGAAGCUCCUGAUCGAAGCCCCGGUAAACGGCGGCCGUAACUAUAACGGUCCUAAGGUAGCGAAAUUCCUUGUCGGGUAAGUUCCGACCUGCACGAAUGGCGUAAUGAUGGCCAGGCUGUCUCCACCCGAGACUCAGUGAAAUUGAACUCGCUGUGAAGAUGCAGUGUACCCGCGGCAAGACGGAAAGACCCCGUGAACCUUUACUAUAGCUUGACACUGAACAUUGAGCCUUGAUGUGUAGGAUAGGUGGGAGGCUUUGAAGCGUGGACGCCAGUCUGCGUGGAGCCGACCUUGAAAUACCACCCUUUAAUGUUUGAUGUUCUAACGUGGACCCGUAAUCCGGGUUGCGGACAGUGUCUGGUGGGUAGUUUGACUGGGGCGGUCUCCUCCUAAAGAGUAACGGAGGAGCACGAAGGUUGGCUAAUCCUGGUCGGACAUCAGGAGGUUAGUGCAAUGGCAUAAGCCAGCUUGACUGCGAGCGUGACGGCGCGAGCAGGUGCGAAAGCAGGUCAUAGUGAUCCGGUGGUUCUGAAUGGAAGGGCCAUCGCUCAACGGAUAAAAGGUACUCCGGGGAUAACAGGCUGAUACCGCCCAAGAGUUCAUAUCGACGGCGGUGUUUGGCACCUCGAUGUCGGCUCAUCACAUCCUGGGGCUGAAGUAGGUCCCAAGGGUAUGGCUGUUCGCCAUUUAAAGUGGUACGCGAGCUGGGUUUAGAACGUCGUGAGACAGUUCGGUCCCUAUCUGCCGUGGGCGCUGGAGAACUGAGGGGGGCUGCUCCUAGUACGAGAGGACCGGAGUGGACGCAUCACUGGUGUUCGGGUUGUCAUGCCAAUGGCACUGCCCGGUAGCUAAAUGCGGAAGAGAUAAGUGCUGAAAGCAUCUAAGCACGAAACUUGCCCCGAGAUGAGUUCUCCCUGAGACUUAGAGUCUCCUGAAGGAACGUUGAAGACGACGACGUUGAUAGGCCGGGUGUGUAAGCGCAGCGAUGCGUUGAGCUAACCGGUACUAAUGAACCGUGAGGCUUAACCUUACAACGCCGAAG
RNAcentral lists this ribosomal RNA (2365 nucleotides) under Salmonella enterica subsp. enterica serovar Bareilly str. CFSAN000182. Its description in RNAcentral is "bacterial LSU rRNA". It matches the Rfam family "Bacterial large subunit ribosomal RNA", at positions 593 to 2925 of the family's 2925-position model. Lineage: Bacteria; Pseudomonadati; Pseudomonadota; Gammaproteobacteria; Enterobacterales; Enterobacteriaceae. The record is from RNAcentral.